Molecule: ribosomal RNA, 301 nt
Filed under: uncultured bacterium
Lineage: Bacteria
Description: partial 16S ribosomal RNA
Rfam family: Bacterial small subunit ribosomal RNA
Source: RNAcentral
CAGCCGCCGCGGUAAUACGUAGGCGGCAAGCGUUGUCCGGAAUUAUUGGGCGUAAAGGGCUCGCAGGCGGUUUCUUAAGUCUGAUGUGAAAGCCCCCGGCUCAACCGGGGAGGGUCAUUGGAAACUGGGAAACUUGAGUGCAGAAGAGGAGAGUGGAAUUCCACGUGUAGCGGUGAAAUGCGUAGAGAUGUGGAGGAACACCAGUAGCGAAGGCGACUCUCUGGUCUGUAACUGACGCUGAGGAGCGAAAGCGUGGAGAGCGAACAGGAUUAGAUACCCCAGUAGUCCCUGUCUCUUAUAC